Oncorhynchus gorbuscha (pink salmon) is the source of this 241-nucleotide long non-coding RNA. RefSeq lists it as uncharacterized. The transcript has 3 exons. NCBI's taxonomy places the organism in Eukaryota, Metazoa, Chordata, Actinopteri, Salmoniformes, Salmonidae. The record is from RefSeq and is a predicted model, not a curated record.
UCUCCAGCCUCAUCAGAUGUCCUUCCUGUCAGAACCAGGUGAUGAGUGAUGUCACUCACCACUCUGGAACCUUCUCCUGGACCAUGUGCCUGGUGUUCAUCCUCUGUGGGCUGUUGCUGGGAUGCUGUCUGUUACACACCCCCUCCGUCUCAGCUCCACCCCCUCCGUCUCAGCUCCACCCCCUCCGUCUCAGACACCACCCCCCAGCAGUAGCAGGCUGUUGCUGGGAUGCUGUCUGUUA